This 433-nucleotide ribosomal RNA is filed under the name uncultured bacterium. RNAcentral describes it as "bacterial SSU rRNA". It matches the Rfam family "Bacterial small subunit ribosomal RNA", at positions 957 to 1391 of the family's 1533-position model. The record is from RNAcentral.
GAACGCGAAGAACCUUACCAGGUCUUGACAUCCCUCUGACCUCUCUAGAGAUAGAGAUUUCCUUCGGGACAGAGGUGACAGGUGGUGCAUGGUUGUCGUCAGCUCGUGUCGUGAGAUGUUGGGUUAAGUCCCGCAACGAGCGCAACCCCUAUUGUUAGUUGCCAUCAUUCAGUUGGGCACUCUAGCGAGACUGCCGGUAAUAAACCGGAGGAAGGUGGGGAUGACGUCAAAUCAUCAUGCCCCUUAUGACCUGGGCUACACACGUGCUACAAUGGCUGGUACAACGAGUCGCAAGCCGGUGACGGCAAGCUAAUCUCUUAAAGCCAGUCUCAGUUCGGAUUGUAGGCUGCAACUCGCCUACAUGAAGUCGGAAUCGCUAGUAAUCGCGGAUCAGCACGCCGCGGUGAAUACGUUCCCGGGUCUUGUACACACC